CCUACGGGCGGCAGCAGUGGGGAAUAUUGGACAAUGGGGGGAACCCUGAUCCAGCGACGCCGCGUGAGUGAAGAAGUAUCUCUGUAUUGAAAGCUCCAUUAGCAGGGAAGAAAAUGACGGUACCUGACUAAGAAGCCCCGGCUAACUACGUGCCAGCAGCCGCGGUAAUACGUAGGGGGCAAGCGUUAUCCGGAUUUACUGGGUGUAAAGGGAGCGUAGACGGUGCAGCAAGUCUGAUGUGAAAGGUCGGGGCCCAACCCCGGGACUGCAUUGGAAACUGUUGAACUAGAGUACAGGAGAGGUAGGCGGAAUUCCUGGUGUAGCGGUGAAAUGCGUAGAUAUUAGGCAGAACACCGGUGGCGAAGGCAGCUUACUGGGCUGUAACUGACGUUGAGGCUCGAAAGCGUGGGGAGCAAACAGGAUUAGAUACCCCAGUAGUC
This 440-nucleotide ribosomal RNA is filed under the name uncultured bacterium. RNAcentral's name for it is "partial 16S ribosomal RNA". It matches the Rfam family "Bacterial small subunit ribosomal RNA", at positions 338 to 795 of the family's 1533-position model. The record is from RNAcentral.